Molecule: ribosomal RNA, 2834 nt
Filed under: Shewanella cutis
Lineage: Bacteria; Pseudomonadati; Pseudomonadota; Gammaproteobacteria; Alteromonadales; Shewanellaceae
Description: 23S ribosomal RNA
Rfam family: Bacterial large subunit ribosomal RNA
Source: RNAcentral
GUUGUAUGGUUAAGCGACUAAGCGUAUACGGUGGAUGCCUUGGCAGUCAGAGGCGAUGAAGGACGUAGUAACUUGCGAAAAGCGUUGGCGAGCUAGUAACAAGCAUUUGAGCUAACGAUGUCCGAAUGGGGGAACCCGGCCGCAUAAGCGGUCAUCAUUAAGUGAAUACAUAGCUUAAUGAGGCAAACGAGGGGAACUGAAACAUCUAAGUACCCUUAGGAAAAGAAAUCAACCGAGAUUCCCCUAGUAGCGGCGAGCGAACGGGGAUUAGCCCUUAAGUCAGAGGGGUGUUAGUGGAAUGGUCUGGAAAGUCCAGCGGCACAGGGUGAUAGCCCCGUACACGAAAACUAACCUUUGAUGAAAACGAGUAAGGCGGGACACGUGAUAUCCUGUUUGAAUAUGGGGGGACCAUCCUCCAAGGCUAAAUACUCCUGACUGACCGAUAGUGAACCAGUACCGUGAGGGAAAGGCGAAAAGAACCCCUGUGAGGGGAGUGAAAUAGAACCUGAAACCGUAUACGUACAAGCAGUGGGAGCGGUUCUUGAGACCGUGACUGCGUACCUUUUGUAUAAUGGGUCAGCGACUUACGUUUUGUAGCGAGGUUAAGCGAAUAGCGGAGCCGUAGGGAAACCGAGUGUUAACUGCGCGUUUAGUUGCAAGGCGUAGACCCGAAACCCGGUGAUCUAGCCAUGGGCAGGUUGAAGGUUGAGUAACAUCAACUGGAGGACCGAACCGACUAAUGUUGAAAAAUUAGCGGAUGACUUGUGGCUGGGGGUGAAAGGCCAAUCAAACCGGGAGAUAUCUGGUUCUCCUCGAAAGCUAUUUAGGUAGCGCCUCGAGCGAAUACCAUUGGGGGUAGAGCACUGUUAAGGCUAGGGGGUCAUCCCGACUUACCAACCCUUUGCAAACUCCGAAUACCAAUGAGUACUACUCGGGAGACAGACGGCGGGUGCUAACGUCCGUCGUCAAAAGGGAAACAACCCAGACCGUCAGCUAAGGUCCCAAAGUGUAUGUUAAGUGGGAAACGAUGUGGGAAGGCUUAGACAGCUAGGAUGUUGGCUUAGAAGCAGCCAUCAUUUAAAGAAAGCGUAAUAGCUCACUAGUCGAGUCGGCCUGCGCGGAAGAUGUAACGGGGCUAAACAUACCACCGAAGCUACGGGUGCAUUUCAUUAGAGAUGCGCGGUAGAGGAGCGUUCUGUAAGCCGUUGAAGGUGAAGGGGUAACCCACACUGGAGGUAUCAGAAGUGCGAAUGCUGACAUGAGUAACGAUAAAGGGGGUGAAAAACCCCCUCGCCGAAAGACCAAGGGUUCCUGUCCAACGUUAAUCGGGGCAGGGUGAGUCGACCCCUAAGGUGAGGCCGAAAGGCGUAAUCGAUGGGAAACAGAUUAAUAUUUCUGUACUUCCGCUAACUGCGAUGGAGAGACGGAGAAGGCUAGGCUAGCGCGGCGUUGGUAGUCCGCGUUUAAGGUGGUAGGUGGGUGACUUAGGCAAAUCCGGGUCACUAUACACUGAGAGCUGAUGACGAGUCCCCAAGGGGAUGAAGUAGUUGAUGCCAUGCUUCCAGGAAAAUCUUCUAAGCUUCAGGUUAGCGGGAAUCGUACCCCAAACCGACACAGGUGGUCGGGUAGAGAAUACCAAGGCGCUUGAGAGAACUCGGCUGAAGGAACUAGGCAAAAUGGUACCGUAACUUCGGGAGAAGGUACGCUCCUGUUGGUGAUGAGACUUGCUCUCUAAGCUGACGGGAGUCGCAGAUACCAGGUGGCUGCAACUGUUUAUCAAAAACACAGCACUGUGCAAACUCGCAAGAGGAAGUAUACGGUGUGACGCCUGCCCGGUGCCGGAAGGUUAAUUGAUUGGGUUAUCGCAAGAGAAGCUCAUGAUCGAAGCCCCGGUAAACGGCGGCCGUAACUAUAACGGUCCUAAGGUAGCGAAAUUCCUUGUCGGGUAAGUUCCGACCUGCACGAAUGGCGUAAUGAUGGCCACGCUGUCUCCAGCCGAGACUCAGUGAAGUUGAAAUUGCGGUGAAGAUGCCGUAUACCCGCGGCUAGACGGAAAGACCCCGUGAACCUUUACUAUAGCUUGGCACUGAACAUUGACCCUACAUGUGUAGGAUAGGUGGGAGACUGGGGUAAGGACAGUGCCUGGUGGGUAGUUUGACUGGGGCGGUCUCCUCCCAAAGAGUAACGGAGGAGCACGAAGGUUGGCUAAGUACGGUCGGACAUCGUACGGUUAGUGCAAUGGCAUAAGCCAGCUUAACUGCGAGACAGACACGUCGAGCAGGUACGAAAGUAGGUCAUAGUGAUCCGGUGGUUCUGAAUGGAAGGGCCAUCGCUCAACGGAUAAAAGGUACUCCGGGGAUAACAGGCUGAUACCGCCCAAGAGUUCAUAUCGACGGCGGUGUUUGGCACCUCGAUGUCGGCUCAUCACAUCCUGGGGCUGAAGUCGGUCCCAAGGGUAUGGCUGUUCGCCAUUUAAAGUGGUACGCGAGCUGGGUUCAGAACGUCGUGAGACAGUUCGGUCCCUAUCUGCCGUGGGCGUUGGAUGAUUGAGGGGAGUUGCUCCUAGUACGAGAGGACCGGAGUGAACGAACCGCUGGUGUUCGGGUUGUCAUGCCAAUGGCAUUGCCCGGUAGCUAUGUUCGGAAUCGAUAACCGCUGAAAGCAUCUAAGCGGGAAGCGAGCCCCAAGAUGAGUCAUCCCUUGGACUUUAAGUCCACUAAAGAGCCGUUCGAGACUAGGACGUUGAUAGGUCAGGUGUGUAAGCGUUGUGAGGCGUUGAGCUAACUGAUACUAAUGACUCGAGAGGCUUAACCAUACAACCCAGAUGGGUUUUG